AUUGAACGCUGGCGGAAUGCUUUACACAUGCAAGUCGAGCGGCAGCGCGGGGGCAACCCUGGCGGCGAGCGGCGAACGGGUGAGUAAUACAUCGGAACGUGUCCUUAAGUGGGGGAUAGCUCGGCGAAAGCCGGAUUAAUACCGCAUAAGCUCUGAGGAGGAAAGCGGGGGCUCCGUAAGGACCUCGCGCUGUUGGAGCGGCCGAUGUCGGAUUAGCUAGUUGGUGGGGUAAAGGCCCACCAAGGCGACGAUCCGUAGCUGGUCUGAGAGGAUGAUCAGCCACACUGGAACUGAGACACGGUCCAGACUCCUACGGGAGGCAGCAGUGGGGAAUUUUGGACAAUGGGGGCAACCCUGAUCCAGCCAUUCCGCGUGAGUGAAGAAGGCCUC
This 390-nucleotide ribosomal RNA is filed under the name uncultured bacterium. Its description in RNAcentral is "bacterial SSU rRNA". It matches the Rfam family "Bacterial small subunit ribosomal RNA", at positions 29 to 418 of the family's 1533-position model. The record is from RNAcentral.